GUGGGGAAUCUUCCACAAUGGGGGCAACCCUGAUGGAGCAACACCGCGUGCUGGAUGAAGGCCUUCGGGUCGUAAACAGCUUUUGUAUACGAAGAAUAUGACGGUAAUAUACGAAUAAGGGUCGGCUAACUACGUGCCAGCAGCCGCGGUCAUACGUAGGACCCAAGCGUUAUCCGGAGUGACUGGGCGUAAAGAGUUGCGUAGGCGGCUUAUUAAGCGAGUAGUGAAAUCUGGUGGCUCAACCAUCAACACAUUGCUCGAACUGAUAGGCUUGAGAAUGGUAGAGGUAGUUGGAAUUUCUUGUGUAGGAGUGAAAUCCGUAGAUAUAAGAAGGAACACCAAUGGCGUAGGCAGACUACUGGACCAUUUCUGACGCUGAGGCACGAAAGCGUGGGGAGCGAACCGGAUUAGAAACCCGUGUAGUCC
Molecule: ribosomal RNA, 426 nt
Filed under: uncultured bacterium
Lineage: Bacteria
Description: partial 16S ribosomal RNA
Rfam family: Bacterial small subunit ribosomal RNA
Source: RNAcentral